CCAACUCUAUCUAUCAAAGAUCAUCAAUCAUCAAGAUGAUACUCAUGAGCCCCACAAUCUAUCAAUGACACCUAGCACUGUAAUAGCCAUCCAGUAGAAUAAAAUUGAUGAACCUCUAGAUGUAGUUACCAUAUGAUACAGUCCCUCUAUUAUGAGUCCCGACUUGAUGGAGGUCAUAGAUAAUUUGUCAAAUCCCAUCGUCAGUCAUAUGUUAGAUUUAUUUGACUCGAGUUCAUCCUAUGAAUAUCCAUAGAAAUUUUUUUCCAUCAAUCACACUGCC
Molecule: long non-coding RNA, 280 nt
Filed under: Elaeis guineensis (African oil palm)
Lineage: Eukaryota; Viridiplantae; Streptophyta; Magnoliopsida; Arecales; Arecaceae
Description: long non-coding RNA (EGUI_LNC050511)
Source: RNAcentral